GCGCUCAGCCCCGCCCCUGGCUCUGCCCCCGCCGCGGAGCGGAACCCUCCAAGUCGCGGCCUGAGGAGGAAGGAAAAGGGGGCGGCCCGGGAGAGCCGCUGCGAAAUCAGCAACGGGCGGGAACCAGGUUGCCUCCCUGAGUCCCUUCUCUCCCCGGCCGGCUGCCAACCACAGCCAAGGCCAGAGAAACAGGCCCUUCUGCCGCGGCCACCUGGGCGCCUUGGACCCGCCCUCCGGACUCGCCCCCGCCCCUGCCGCGGAGUGGAACGUUUGGAACCCUGAGGGGCACAGAUGGCGUCUCUCUCUGUUGCCCAGACUGGAGUACAAUGGUGUGAUUUCGGCUUACUGCAACCUCUGCCUCCCAGGAUCAAGCGAUUAUCCUGCCUCAGCCUCCUGAGUAGCUGGGACUACAGCUCCUCUAGCAAUUCCGAUGUGAAAAGAAGAUGGAUGGAGAAGCACUGAUUCAGCCAUGGCUGACAUGUCGGAGUUGGAAUGGACAGUGCCCGGACCUCACAGUCUCAGAGAACUGGAGAAGAGUAAAGCUGAAGAGGGCAUCAUCUGGUUACAAAUGACAAGUCCAGGGCUCCAGAACUCAGGCCAUGUAGAGAGGCCACAUGGGAACUGAGGUUCCUAGUCCUCAGCUUCCACUGAGCUCCCAGCCAACAGCCAGCAAUAACUUGCCAGAUGUGUGCACAGGCCAUCCUGGAAGCAGAGGAUCCAGCCCUCAGCCAAGAUGCCCCAGUUGAUUCCAUGUGAACUAGGAAUGAGCCCUCCUGCUGAGCUCUGCCCAAAUUACAGAUCUGUGAGCAAACUAAAUGACAGUUGUAUUAAGCUACACAGAAAUAGAUAACUGGAAUACCACCCAUGUCUUUCUUUCCAAACUUAGUUAACUGAGUCUGAGCUAAAGAGAAUUCACACUGUAUAUCUUAUAUUGAAUACCCACUAUAUCUGGGGCAUGAUUGCUAAUAAUCCUCACAAUAGCCCUACAAUAGGAAACGAUCAUCCUCAUUUCACAGAUGGAGAGUUUAAUGGUAAGCCUGAACUCAGACUCAGACUUGUUUGACUUGAGAGCCCAUACCUCUUUCACUAAGCCAUACCAUCUCCAUUCACUCUAUGCUGUCUGGCCACCUGAGAGGCUGUCUGUAAGUCUAUCUCCUUAUUAACCCAUCAUUCCUGCUACUUCCAUGAUAAUCGGCAAGGCUGAAUGAUAGCUCUCAGUUCUAUGGGGUCUUUCCAGGAGAAGGGCCAAAGAGGAGUGGUUGAUCACAAAGUCAUCGGCACAAAAAGAUGGUGGCCAAGCUACAGUCCUGCAUGGCACAUGAGCCAGAUGAUCAAGUAAUGAAAGCUAUGCUAAGAAAUGUGGGCUUUAUCUUGUGGAGAAGGAGAUGCAGUAGAGGCUUUUUAAGGUACAUUUCAGAACAAUUAUUAUUUUUAUAUUUAUUAUAUAUUAUUUAUAUAUAUAAAACCACAAAUUAUAUGCUACAUAUAUACAUAUGUUUUUAUGUCUAUAUAUAAACACAUAUAUACGUUUAUAUAUAUAUACAUAUGUAUAUACAACACAUAAAAUUUACCAUCUUAACCUUUUUUUUUUCCAAGAUGGAGUCUCAUUCUGUUGCCCUGGCUGGAGUGCAGUGACACGAUCUCGGCUCACUGCAACCUACACCUCCCAGGUUCAAACAAUUCUCAUGCCUCAGCCUCCCUAGUAGCUGGGAUUACAGGCGCCCACCACCAUGCUCAGCUCAGCUAAUUUUUGUAUUUUUAGUAGAGACAGGGUUUCACCAUAUUGGCCAGGCUAGUUUCGAACUCCUGACCUCAGGUGAUCCGCUUGCCUCGGCCUCCCAAAGUGCUGGGAUUACAGGCAUGAGCCACUGCACCCGGCCUCAUCUUAACCAUUUUUAAGUGUACAGUUUGGUUGCAUUAAGUAUGUCCACAUGUUUAUGCAACCAUCACCACCUUCUCUUUUUAGAACUUCUGCAUCUUCCCAAACCAAAACCCCAUACCUAUUAAACAAUAACUCCCCAUUCUCCCUUCCCCCUUGCCCCUGUUCCUGACACAGAACAAUAUUUUUUGUAUAACUAUGAAAUAAAUGAAGGAAAUCUGAAGUGGGAAGGCCAGAGAGUAAGCUACAGGGGUACAUUGGGCAAGACACGAUGAGGACUUGAACCCAUGCUUGGGAAGCUGGCAUGAAAAGAGAGGUUCAACAGAUCCUACUAAGGUAAAAGUGAGAGGAUUUUGCGGGGCGGAGGGGGGGUCACUGGGAUGUGGGAGUGAGGAAGAAACAGGAAUCGGCCUGCCAGCAGUUAAUCUAUCGAACUCCCAUAGUCCACGUGACCCUGUCCUGCACCCCUAAAGAAGGCAGUGUGGCAGGUAGGUUAAGAGCCUAGACUCCAAAGACCAGGACGGCCUAGGUCCAAAUCCUGGCUCUGCCAUUUGCUAACUAUGUAACUUUGACCACUUACUUAACCCAUCUGCACUUCAGUUUCCCAGGUGAAAAACAGGCACGAAGAUAAGUGUAACAGGACAUACUUCAUAGGUACUACUGUUAAAGUAUUGAGAAGAAUACACAGUAAAUACUGCUCAAGUCAGUAGUUAAUACAAUGACUGUAUUAGUCCGUUUUCACGCUCUGAUAAAGACAUACCCAAGACUGGGUAAUUUAUAAAGGAAAGAGGUUUAAUUUACUCACAUUUCCACAUGGCUGGGGAGGCCUCACAAUCAUGGUGGAAGAGGAAGGAAGAGCAAAGGGAUGUCUUAUAUGGCAGCGGGCAAAAGAGAGAGCCAAGUGAAAGGGGGAAAUCUCUUAUAAAAACAUCAGAUCUCAUGAAACUUAUUUGCUACCACAAGAACAGUAUGGGGGAAACCGCUCCCGUUAUUCAAUUAUCUCCCACCGGGUCCCUCCUACAACAUGUAAGAAUUAUGGGAGCUGCAAUUCAAGAUGAGAUUUGGGUGGGAAUACAGCCAAACCAUAUCAAGGAUGCGCUCUCUAUUCUUCACUUUCCCAGUGACUUAUCUAAAAAUGAUUUCUCCCUUCUACGUGCAAGACUUCCACUCCAGUUUCUUUUCUCCUUAUAUUAUUUGCUUCCAGUUUCUAAAAUAUCCUUGGGAUCACUUUGAGAACAUGGGAGGAGAGAAGCAGAGGGCUUCAGGAAAUCUGAUGACCAUAACUUACGUUUUAUAAGUUCUUGUACAAAGUCAAGAACAGGUGAAAUUUCCAGGAAGAAUGUAGAAGACACAGUUAAUCAUGAUGUUAUUGGGUUGCCCUUAAGUGGGAUGCAUGGUCUCCCUAGGGGUCACAGGCUGGCUUCUAAAAAGUAACUAAUUUUUUUCUGAUUACAAUCAUAAUGUGGGUUUAUGUGGGAAGAAUUCUAAGCCACAGAAAAAUAUAAGGAAAAACUUGAAAAGUACUCCUAAUCUUACCACUCAAAGAUAACGUUAGCUGGCUGCAAGGAUCUUCAGAAUUCUCUAGGCCAGUUGCAGAACUGAAACAACAAAACAGAGCCUUGGGAGAUGUUAGCUUCAUGUUUUAUUUAGAAGUAUUAGCAGAUAGAAAAUUGAGCUCAUUAGCAUGCUAGCAUGUGUGGUGGCUCCAUAAUGCAUCAUCUUCGUUAGACCAACUACAUUUCCCAAAAUUCCCUUUCUUGCAUGUUUCUAAUUAACGUGGGACAGAAGAGAGUUUCCUGUGGGAGAUCUGGGCAGAUGUGGGCAGCAGCCAUGUUGUAGCUCACAUAGGUUGGCAAUGAUCAGUUGCCUCAUCUUAUUAGGACCAGGGAGGUGCGGGGCCUGUAACUGCUCCACCUUCUCCUGGGUUUUCCUUUUCAGCUUCUUCGGCUCCUUGGCCAUGUGUGUACUUUAUGAUGAAGCGCCCAGCUUCUGCAGGAUAUCCAUACUGCCAAGGUCAAAAGCAACAAUAAGCGACGUGGGGCUCAGUCUGUUCUCGUGGGCUACAAUGCAUGCUUCUGGUUUCCAGGUUGUUCUUGCUCUCCCUUAUUUUACAUUUAUCCUUCCUUCCCAACUGCCUGUCCGAUAGAUGUCGAGUCCCAACAUCAGAUGUGAAGAUGAGAGCUUUAUAGAGACUGCUUAACCAGCUCCCACAGUUGUAUUAGGACAAAUCCCUGUAGCAAAUCCCUUUGUGUGUGUGUGUGUGUGUGUGUGUGUGUGUAUGUGUGUGUGUGUGCGCGCGCACGCGCGUGCACGCACCUUAGUGGUUCUCCUGUGAUUGAAUCCUGACUUACACAGUUUGAGAUAGAAACCUUCUGAAGCAAUUAGAUUAAAUGGUCUAUAACUGUGCUGUCCAACAUGGUAGCCAUUAGCUACAUGUGGCUAUUUAAAUUUAAAUUAAUUAAAGUUAAACAUAAUUAGAAUUUAGUACCCCAGUCAAGUUUCAAGUGCUCAAUACUGUGGUCACAUGUGGCUGGUGGCCACUGUUUUGGGCAGCACAGAUAUAGAGCACUUCCGUUAUUGCAAAAAAAUGUUCUAUGAGCACUGGUCUAUAGUGAUAAUUACUAGUAUUUACUGAGUUCUCACCAUGUGUCAGAUGCAGAUUCCAAGUUUGCUCUGGAGAGCACGAUGCGGCAGGCAAACGGGGAAAGAGAGAGAGUGAUGGGAAUCAGGUGGGAGAUUUUUUUUUUUUUUUUUGAGAUGGAGUCUCUCUCACUCUGUCACCCAGGCUGGAGUGCAGUGGCACAAUAUCGGAUCACUGCAACCUCCGCCUCCCAGGUUCAAGUGAUUCUCCUGCCUCAGUCUCCCAAGUAGCCAGGAUUACAGACUUGUACCACCACGCCUGGCUAAGUUUUGUAUUUUUAGUAGAGACAGGGUUUCACCAUGUUGGCCAGGCUGGUCUCGAACCCCUGACCUCAGGUGAUCCACCCUCCUUGACCUUCCAAAGUGCUGAGAUUACAGGUGUGAGCCAUUGCACCUGGCCAGGUGGGAGAUUUUUAAUGACCAGGCCUGGAGGUGGCACACAUCACUUAUACCCACAUCCAUUGGCCAGCACUCAGUUACACGGCCACUUCUAACUACAAGGGAGGUUGGGAAAUGUAGCCUAGCUGUGUGCUGAGGAAGAAAAAGUAAAAGCUUUGGUGCCAGCCAGUCUCUGCCACAUCAGAUUUAAUUUGAGCGCUGUGAAGUAAUUAAUGCCCAUUAAACUAAGGGUGGGACAAGAUUAAUGCUAAAAUCACUCUCCCCAGCCACCAUUUUCUCUCUUGUUCUUUGUCAUGAUAUUGACAAGGUCAAAAGUCAGGCAGUCAGCAUGAACCCGAGGAGGAGAAGUCCUUGCCACUUUGAGGCUGAAUAUGAACAGCCCCUUCUUUAUGACUCACCCUAUCAGCUUUGCUCCUAGCGAAUGUUCAUAUCGUGGUUCUCCGGGACCCUUGAAAGUGGGACUCCUAUGUGAGGAACUAGUUCUAUAAACAACUACAUGCUAGUAAAAAACCAUUAAGAGGGUUGGAAUUAGGCAUAGUCCUGCUGCAUAGAAAUCCUACUUAGUUGGAAAAAUUGUAUUUUUAAGUUGCCUCUGUUUUGAAGCCACGUUAACCCUUAACCUUCAGAAAAUCCUUAGCCAGCCUUUAUACAUUGGUAGCUCCUGUUCUAAUAAUGUCUUCUCCUCCUAUUUUCUUUGGCUUGUCAUGAGCUUUGAAAGUUUGAUCUGAGAUCCCUCACUUUUAAUAAUCUGUAACUCUGAUUUGGUAAUCUCCUACAUAUGAAUAAAAUGUCUGUGUUCAUUUAUUUCUAAUGAAUAAAUGAACAUGCCUGCUGAGCCAAGCCUUAAAUGUGAUUAAGGAGACUGACUUGGGUUCAGAUCCUGGCUCUGCCUUGAGUAAGUUUCUAACAUUCCUCUGCUUGUAUUUCCUUAUCUGUAAAAUGGGAGUGAUUUCUUUGAAUGAAAUUAUAUUACAUUUAUCAAGCAUUUUAUCACAGUUUCAACAAUAAGGUGUAAUUAUUAUUAAUUCAGACUAUAUGAUUCUGUGCCCUUGGAUAAAGUUUACCAUUAUAUAAUAAACUACUUUUCUCACUUAAUGCAAACAAUGUGGUAUCAGUAAUUUGUAGAGGGCAUUUUAAAAAAUCAUGAAGAUGGUUUCUUCCAGGAUUUACAUGCAUGAGAUUUCCAUUCUGACUAUAAAACAUUCUUAUUUAUUCACUAACACUAGGUUAGUGAGAAUGUCUGUUAGAACACUGUGCUCAUCUAAUUCAAGUUUCCAUAGUUUAGGAUCAUCAUAGGAAGGCACCUCCUACAAAGAUCAUGGGGUUCCAUCCCUUCGUAUUACACAUCAGGAAACUGAAGUUCAUAGAAAUCCACUUCAGAGGUAAAGGAGACUUGAAGAUGACCUAGUGCAAUACUGUACGUUUUGCAAAGGUAGUCAUUUAGACGGUACUUUCAUCAUUUCAAAAAUCGCUUAUUUAUCCACAAUAGGCUGCACACACAAAAAUUAGAGUGUGAGGCUGAGGCUGGGUGCGAUGACUCACGCCUGUAAUCCCAGUGCUUUGGGAGG
This 6486-nucleotide long non-coding RNA is filed under the name Homo sapiens (human). Its description in RNAcentral is "HSALNT0407098". Lineage: Eukaryota; Metazoa; Chordata; Mammalia; Primates; Hominidae. The record is from RNAcentral.